RNAcentral lists this ribosomal RNA (460 nucleotides) under uncultured bacterium. RNAcentral's name for it is "partial 16S ribosomal RNA". It matches the Rfam family "Bacterial small subunit ribosomal RNA", at positions 338 to 795 of the family's 1533-position model. The record is from RNAcentral.
CCUACGGGAGGCAGCAGUGAGGAAUAUUGGUCAAUGGACGAGAGUCUGAACCAGCCAAGUCGCGUGAAGGAUGACUGCCCUAAGGGUUGUAAACUUCUUUUAUAUGGGAAUAAAAUGUUCCACGUGUGGGAUUUUGUCGGUACCAUAUGAAUAAGGAUCGGCCAAAUCCGGGCCAGCAGCCGCGGUAAUACGGAGGAUCCGAGCGUUAUCCGGAUUUCGUGGGUUUAAAGGGAGCGUAGGUGGAUUGUUAAGGCAGUUGUGAAAGUGUGCGGCUCAACCGUAAAAGUGCAGUUGAAACUGGCAGUCUUGAGUACAGUAGAGGUGGGCGGAAGUCGUGGUGUAGCGGUGAAAUGCUUAGAUAUCACGAAGAACUCCGAUUGCGAAGGCAGUUCACUGGACUGCAACUGACACUGAGGCUCGAAAGCGUGGGUAUCAAACAGGAUUAGAUACCCCAGUAGUC